This 2896-nucleotide ribosomal RNA is filed under the name Clostridioides difficile. RNAcentral describes it as "bacterial LSU rRNA". It matches the Rfam family "Bacterial large subunit ribosomal RNA". The record is from RNAcentral. Lineage: Bacteria; Bacillati; Bacillota; Clostridia; Peptostreptococcales; Peptostreptococcaceae. RNAcentral also lists the same sequence under 1 other name.
UCAAGUUAUUAAGGGUGCAGGGCGGAUGCCUUGGCACUAGGAGCCGAUGAAGGACGUGAUAAGCUGCGAUAAGCUUCGGGGAGUUGCACGUAAACUUUGAUCCGAAGAUUUCCGAAUGAGGAAACUCACUUAGAGUAAUGUCUAAGUAUCAUUAAGUGAAUACAUAGCUUAAUGAGGGGAACUCAGGGAACUGAAACAUCUAAGUACCUGAAGGAAGAGAAAGAAAUUCGAUUCCGUAAGUAGCGGCGAGCGAACGCGGAUUAGCCCAAACCAAUAAAGUUUUCUUUAUUGGGGUUGCGGACAUAUCAUAACGAAGAGGUAUCGUAAUUGAAGAGGUUUGGAAAGACCCACCACAGAAGGUAAUAGUCCUGUAUGUUAAACGAGAAGACUUUAGAUAUGAUCCAGAGUACCACGGGACACGUGAAACCCUGUGGGAAGCAGGAGGGACCACCCUCCAAGGCUAAAUACUACCUAGUGACCGAUAGCGUAUAGUACCGUGAGGGAAAGGUGAAAAGAACCCCGGGAGGGGAGUGAAAUAGAACCUGAAACCCUGCACUUACAAGCUGUGGAAGCACAUUUCUUGUGUGACCGCGUACUUUUUGUAGAACGGGCCAACGAGUUACGUUAAGUAGCAAGGUUAAGCACUUAAGGUGUGGAGCCGUAGCGAAAGCGAGUUUUAACUGAGCGUUCAGUUACUUGACGUAGACCCGAAACCGGGCGACCUACCCAUGAGCAGGAUGAAGCGAAAGUAAAAUUUCGUGGAGGUCCGAACCCACGAGCGUUGAAAAGCUCGGGGAUGACUUGUGGGUAGCGGUGAAAUUCCAAUCGAGCCCGGAGAUAGCUGGUUCUCCCCGAAAUAGCUUUAGGGCUAGCCUCAAGGUGAGAGAUACGGAGGUAGAGCACUGAAUGUCCUAGGGGGUAUUGCACCUACCGAAGACUAUCAAACUCCGAAUGCCGUCAUCUUAUACUUGGGAGUCAGACUGUGGGUGAUAAGAUUCAUAGUCGAAAGGGCAACAGCCCAGAUCGUCAGCUAAGGUCCCUAAAUGUAAGUUAAGUGGUAAAGGAUGUGGGAUUGCACAGACAACCAGGAUGUUGGCUUAGAAGCAGCCACUCAUUCAAAGAGUGCGUAAUAGCUCACUGGUCGAGUGAUCCUGCGCCGAAGAUUUCCGGGGCUAAAACUUACUACCGAAGCUACGGCAUCAGUAAUGAUGGGUAGGGGAGCUUCCCAUACGGGUUGAAGCAUGACCGUAAGGACAUGUGGACAGUAUGGGAGUGAGAAUGUUGGCAUGAGUAGCGAGAUGUGGGUGAGAAUCCCACAGGCCGUAAACCCAAGGUUUCCAGGGGAAGGUUCGUCCGCCCUGGGUUAGUCGGGACCUAAGCUGAGGCCGAAAGGCGUAGGUGAUGGACAACAGGUUGAUAUUCCUGUACUACCGAUAACCGUUUGAGAGAAGGGAUGACACAGUAGGAUAAGCUAAGCACACUGUUGGUUAUGUGUGCCCAAGCAUUGAGGCAGUCAAAGUAGGCAAAUCCGCUUUGAUAAUGCUGGGAUGUGAUGGGGAGCGAAAUUUAGUAGCGAAGUAGCUGAUUUCACACUGUCAAGAAAAGUCUCUAUCGAGGUUAAAGGUACCCGUACCGCAAACCGACACAGGUGGGUGAGGAGAGUAUCCUAAGGCCAGCGAGAGAACUGUUGUUAAGGAACUCGGCAAAAUGACCCCGUAACUUAGGGAUAAGGGGUGCCACCAUCAGGUGGCCGCAGAGAAUAGGCCCAAGCGACUGUUUACCAAAAACAUAGGUUUCUGCUAAGUCGCAAGACGAUGUAUAGGAGCUGACGCCUGCCCGGUGCUGGAAGGUUAAGGGGAUCUGUUAGAGCAAUCGAAGCAGUGAACUUAAGCCCCAGUAAACGGCGGCCGUAACUAUAACGGUCCUAAGGUAGCGAAAUUCCUUGUCGGGUAAGUUCCGACCCGCACGAAAGGCGUAACGAUUUGGGCACUGUCUCAACAACAGACUCGGUGAAAUUGUAAUUCCGGUGAAGAUGCCGGAUACCUGCGACAGGACGGAAAGACCCCAUGGAGCUUUACUGUAGCUUGACAUUGGGUCUUGGUACUACAUGUACAGGAUAGGUGGGAGGCUUUGAAACCAGGACGCCAGUUUUGGCGGAGCCAUCCUUGGGAUACCACCCUUGUAGUACUGGGACUCUAACCAUAGACCAUGAAUCUGGUCUUGGGACACUGUCAGGUGGGCAGUUUGACUGGGGCGGUCGCCUCCCAAAAGGUAACGGAGGCGCUCAAAGGUUCUCUCAGUACGGUCGGAAAUCGUACGUAGAGUGUAAAGGCAAAAGAGAGCUUGAUUGCAAGACAUACAGGUCGAGCAAGGAUGAAAAUCGGACUUAGUGAUCCGGUGGUUCUGCGUGGAAGGGCCAUCGCUCAACGGAUAAAAGCUACCCUGGGGAUAACAGGCUUAUCUCCCCCAAGAGUCCACAUCGACGGGGAGGUUUGGCACCUCGAUGUCGGCUCAUCACAUCCUGGGGCUGUAGUAGGUCCCAAGGGUUGGGCUGUUCGCCCAUUAAAGUGGUACGCGAGCUGGGUUCAGAACGUCGUGAGACAGUUCGGUCCCUAUCCGUCGCAGGCGUAGGAAAUUUGAGAAGACCUGUCCUUAGUACGAGAGGACCGGGAUGGACGUACCUCUGGUGUACCAGUUGUCCUGCCAAGGGCAUGGCUGGGUAGCUAUGUACGGAAUGGAUAAGCGCUGAAAGCAUCUAAGCGCGAAGCCAACUUCAAGAUAAGAUUUCCCACCGCAAGGGUAAGACCCCAGAAAGACUAUCUGGUUGAUAGGUCGAAGGUGUAAGUGCAGCAAUGUAUUUAGCUUAUCGAUACUAAUAGGUCGAGGACUUGACCAA